RNAcentral lists this ribosomal RNA (816 nucleotides) under Arthrobacter sp. BR2B3. RNAcentral describes it as "bacterial SSU rRNA". It matches the Rfam family "Bacterial small subunit ribosomal RNA", at positions 51 to 879 of the family's 1533-position model. The record is from RNAcentral. Lineage: Bacteria; Bacillati; Actinomycetota; Actinomycetes; Micrococcales; Micrococcaceae.
ACACAUGCAAGUCGAACGAUGAUCCCAGCUUGCUGGGGGAUUAGUGGCGAACGGGUGAGUAACACGUGAGUAACCUGCCCUUGACUCUGGGAUAAGCCUGGGAAACUGGGUCUAAUACCGGAUAUGACCGCUCUGACGCAUGUCAGGUGGUGGAAAGCUUUUGUGGUUUUGGAUGGACUCGCGGCCUAUCAGCUUGUUGGUGGGGUAAUGGCCUACCAAGGCGACGACGGGUAGCCGGCCUGAGAGGGUGACCGGCCACACUGGGACUGAGACACGGCCCAGACUCCUACGGGAGGCAGCAGUGGGGAAUAUUGCACAAUGGGCGCAAGCCUGAUGCAGCGACGCCGCGUGAGGGAUGACGGCCUUCGGGUUGUAAACCUCUUUCAGUAGGGAAGAAGCGAAAGUGACGGUACCUGCAGAAGAAGCGCCGGCUAACUACGUGCCAGCAGCCGCGGUAAUACGUAGGGCGCAAGCGUUAUCCGGAAUUAUUGGGCGUAAAGAGCUCGUAGGCGGUUUGUCGCGUCUGCUGUGAAAGACCGGGGCUCAACUCCGGUUCUGCAGUGGGUACGGGCAGACUAGAGUGAUGUAGGGGAGACUGGAAUUCCUGGUGUAGCGGUGAAAUGCGCAGAUAUCAGGAGGAACACCGAUGGCGAAGGCAGGUCUCUGGGCAUUAACUGACGCUGAGGAGCGAAAGCAUGGGGAGCGAACAGGAUUAGAUACCCUGGUAGUCCAUGCCGUAAACGUUGGGCACUAGGUGUGGGGGACAUUCCACGUUUUCCGCGCCGUAGCUAACGCAUUAAGUGCCCCGCCUGGGGA